AGAAAGAUAGAUAUCGUCAUUUUUUUUCUCACUUUUCACCUACCAAAUGCAGCUGGCUAGUUUAGUUAAUCAAACUCUCGGCUCAAACAGAGGGAUGCUAUGUUAGCUAGCUGGCUAUGACUAUCCAACACCGGAACUCUUCCAAGUCAAGGUAAGCUUUUGGUUUUAUUAAUUUAUUGCCACCGGGGCCCGCCAGUGUAACUGCUUACUGACUGUACACUGUAACGUAACUGCAUGAUUUAUUCAGCCGAUUCUGUUGAAAAACAUUUCUUAAACGGAAGCAAACGAAACAAGGAUAAAAAUGCAAACUCUCUUUUGCAACUGGACUAAUGAUUACACCUUAGAUAAGCUAAAUUCAGGCCAGAGUGUGCAAGGCGGUGUUGAAUGUGUCACUGUCUGUCCAUGAGUCACUGUCUGUCAUCUGAAAUUUUUAUUUCGACCUGUGUGCACCUACGUUGUAAACUUUCAUUCAUAGGCUAGGUUGUAGCAACCUCAUGAUGGGUAUAGGGAACAUUUCAGUAUCAUACAGUAGUUUGAACCUAUUGAUGUUACGUUGAACUGGAUGAAUGGAAUAUGAAUGACAGUAACCUAAACCUGUCACUGUUACAUUGAACUGGAUGAAUAUGAAUGACAGUAUCCUAAACCUAUCACUGUUACAUUGAACUGGGUGAAUGGAGUAUGAAUGACAGUCAUCUAAUAUGCUGUAAUAGAAAUAAGGCCAUGCUCAUCAAAAAAAAAUAAUUGUCCUCCCUCAUCAAAAACGGCACUGUGUUCCACUAUUACAGACAGAGGUGGCAUAAUCUCUAAUGCUGUUCCACUGUCACAGAAGCCAGAUCACCCAUGAUACAAGUCAGUAUUCGACAUCCAUCCAUGUCUGAGGACGUCGGGAGAUGACGUGUAAACCGUCCACUAAGGGCAACAGAGAGCGCUGUUACCUUUAUGUAGGUUUCAGUUUCAUGAUGAGGGAGGUGGGUGUAAGCCUCUGAUUCCAAAGGUUGCAAGUUUUAAUCCAGCGAUAGAACGUUUUUAAGGCUUUCUCAAACCUUAAUCCUUACCUUAACCAUUCGGCGUCAAUGCCUAACUUUAACCAUUCGGCGUCAAUGCCUAACUUUAAACAUUCGGCGUCAAUGCCUAACUUUAAACAUUCGGCGUCAAUGCCUAACCUUUAGAAUUUGGAGUUAAUGCCUGAACUUACCUUUAAACACUUAGAAAUGUUACGUUUGAGAAACAUGGAUGAACGUCUAAUUCUGACGUGAGAUUGUGAGAGCUAGUUGGUUACAGACAGAGGUGGUAUCAUCUCUAACUGUGCUGUUCCUCUGUUACAGACAGAGGUGGUUUCAGGUCUAACUGUGCUGUUCCCCUGUUACAGACAGAGGUGGUAUCAUCUCUAACUGUGCUGUUCCCCUGUUACAGACAGAGGUGGUAUCAGGUCUAACUGUGCUGUUCCCCUGUUACAGACAGAGGUGGUAUCAUCUCUAACUGUGCUGUUCCCCUGUUACAGACAGAGGUGGUAUCAUCUCUAACUGUGCUGUUCCCCUGUUACAGACAGAGGUGGUAUCAUCUCUAACUGUGCUGUUCCCCUGUUACAGACAGAGGUGGUAUCAUCUCUAACUGUGCUGUUCCCGUUACAGACAGAGGUGGUAUCAUCUCUAACUGUGCUGUUCUACUGUCACAGACAGAGGUGGUAUCAGGUCUAACUGUGCUGUUCCCCUGUUACAGACAGAGGUGGUAUCAGGUCUAACUGUGCUGAAGGUGAAGGUGUGUUUUUGUUAUCAGGCUUAGAGAAUGACGGCUCUCCUCUGUCCCAGUCCAGCUGCUCUGAUUCUUUGCAGUCUUUGUCAUAUUCAUGAGGUUCUCAAUUGGAGACAUCUCCAUCAUCAUGUUAAAAUCCCCAGACUUCAUCCCAAGGUUUAGGUCUACUAACAGACUCAGUGGCCACUAGAAAGAUGUCCCCAACUUCAACAUCCCAGCUGUGUGUUCCUGAGGUAAAGCCCUCAGAGCCCAGGACCCAUCCCAAGCCUUUUAAUAUUCUUCCGGCAAUGGCAAAGCUCUAACAAGACGUGUCUGCAUAGAGUCCUCAAACUUUUGAAAAAUGUUAAAGGCAUUUCGCGACUUGGAAGUUAAUACUAGCUAGUCCGCUCCUUUUUUUUCUUUUCUUUGGCUAUAGAGCCACUGGCAGAAGCUUUUAGAUCUCAUGUCAUCUAUCCAUGAUGUUCGUAUAGGUGGGUGUGAACAUCUAGUCUCCUUAAACGCUGAUGACAAUUUUUCUUUUCGUUUUACCUCAGACAUGUCUCUCCGAGCAUUAGUUGACUUGCUGAAAGAAUAUGGGAUCUUUUCAGGAUAUAAAAUAAACCUAUUGAAGAGUAUAAUCAUGCCUAAUAACAGGGCAGCUAUUCAGAACCCAAUCUUAGACCAGCCAUUUUCUUGGAGACCUCAGAAAAUGACAUAUCUGGGAUUGCAAAUUCCUUAUGAAAUUAUUAAGACAUAUCAACUGAACUAAAC
RNAcentral lists this long non-coding RNA (2502 nucleotides) under Salmo salar (Atlantic salmon). Its description in RNAcentral is "lncRNA (ENSSSAG00000109708.1)". Lineage: Eukaryota; Metazoa; Chordata; Actinopteri; Salmoniformes; Salmonidae. The record is from RNAcentral.